UUAGGCCUACGGGAGGCAGCAGUAGGGAAUCUUCCACAAUGGGCGAAAGCCUGAUGGAGCAACGCCGCGUGGGUGAAGAAGGUCUUCGGAUCGUAAAACCCUGUUGUUAGAGAAGAAAGUGCGUGAGAGUAACUGUUCACGUUUCGACGGUAUCUAACCAGAAAGCCACGGCUAACUACGUGCCAGCAGCCGCGGUAAUACGUAGGUGGCAAGCGUUAUCCGGAUUUAUUGGGCGUAAUGGGAACGAUGGGGG
Molecule: ribosomal RNA, 253 nt
Filed under: uncultured bacterium
Lineage: Bacteria
Description: partial 16S ribosomal RNA
Rfam family: Bacterial small subunit ribosomal RNA
Source: RNAcentral